GGAUUUUCAUUCCAAGCAGACAGACGAAAGAAAGAAAAGCAGAGCAGAAAACCCACGCGACGAACGAAGAGGAGAAAACCCAACUCGACGAACGAAGACGAACGAAAACCCAACGGCUGAAGGUCUCUCUCUCUCAGGUUUCGAUUUCGAAUAACGAACGAAGACGAACGACGAAGAUUGAAGCCAGCAUCCACCGAGGCAUCUCGAAGAAAAAAAAAAUAUGGUUAGUAGAUGUGAUUUUGCAAACCCUAACAGCUUAUCCAUCCUUUUCCAAUGCUUAUUUGAGCUUUUUGUGCUAUUUAUCAGUUAUUGUUUGAUUUCUUAUUCCUUGUGAAAUCAGCUUCUUUUCACUGUGUGAAAGAAAGGCAACAUAAUAGUUUUUUUUUUUUUCAAGUGCUGUGUUUUGAUAAAGCAACAAGAUUGGUUUUCCUCAUUAUCUUUGUAAGAAUGAAACUUGAUGGGUUGAAUCUAAUAUGGUUUUCCUCAUAUCAUUUGGUCGGGGAAUAGGUGGGGGCAUUGAAUCUUCCAUAUUGCCAGCACCCAAUCCGUGCCUUUGUGCUAGCUGAGCAUGGUUCUGCCAUGACUUAAAGAUACUGUAUACACUUGUAAUAUUGUCCACCCACUUAAGGCUGUUGGAGGAAAUUGGAUGUAGCAUUAGUAAAUCAUAUAGGCUUGCUACAUGUUAUUGAAUGUGUUCAGCUGAUAUAUUAGUUUUCACAAAAUAAAUGAGUUGCUUGUUAUCACUUUCCUGUAUACCGAUGUGUAUGAAUGAAGUAUUUUUGCCAUGUCUAUUUCUUGUGAAUCCUCAUGUUAGCAUAGCUGAAUUUUCGUAUUUUCCUAUCCUUUUUCCAUACUAGUGCUAUUGUUGCUAGUGCUGGUGCUAUUCUUUAGUCUCUAUUCUAUUUUUUUCCUAAUGCAUUACUUACAUCCAUUUUAAACAUUCCUUACAAAAGCUUGUUUUUGUUACUGGCUGUUCUCAAAAUGGAGUCACGGCAUAUAUUAGUGUGUCGACGAAAAUUUAUUCUUUUCUCUUUUCACAAAACCGGAACCUUUUAUGUGUAGUAUUACAUGUCUAUGUUCUCAUAUUUAAUAUGCUACAGAGAUAAUUUUGUUUGACACGGAUAUAGUAUUCACAGAUAUGAGUGGAGGAUGGCCAUGUAAAAUCAAUAUGGCCUCGGAGACUAGACUCAACCAAUUCUGAACAUGGCUGGUGUUCCUCCCACUGUUUUUGAUAUAGGUUUUGGUUUCAUAGAAACGUAUGGACUUGUUUUUACUUGAAGGACCAGAAGCUUGUUUGCAAAACUUAAGUUGGGAAAAAUCUUGCAAGUCUGCCUUUUUUUUCUUUUAUAUGACUUAGUAUCUUGAAUCUGUGGACAAAUAUUCUUAGGCAGGGGAUUGUAUUCCUAAGAAGCUCACAAUGGAAGGAAGUAGUUCGGGUAACAAUGAAAGUGGUGAUCCCGAUUUUGGGAUCUUUUGUUAUUGCGGAGAACCAAUACCAUUGAGCCACACAAGUACUUGCUCCACAGAUUUUCUGUCAGACCAGCAACACUUUGCUGUUGAUCAAUUUUAGUUGUCAUGGUUAUCUGCUGCUGGUUGCUGUUUACUGCUGCAGGCUGCUGCUGUUAUGGUAGCAGGUACUCACUGUUGAUGUUGUUACCUACGGGUUUUAUGACCUCUUUCUAUGAGGUGAAGCCCCAUGUUCAUUCCACCUAUUCCAUGAGGAAUUCAUCUUGUGCCAUUUGGUGGAUCAAGCGGAUGCAUAUUGGCAUUUUGUUAUCCUUUUGUUACUAUCACUUUGGAAACAGAGCAUAUCAGCUAGCUUAUGUAGCCAUUUGGUGUAAACAAUUUUUCUUUUACUCUUGUUUGUUUUUCUUUUUUUCCUUCUGGGGUAUGCCCCUUGUAAGCUGUAUAUUCGGUUGUCCUUUUAUUUCAAGCUAUUUUACCCAAAAAAAACAUUUGUAGUAGUUUGACUGUGGCCAGCUUCUGUGUUUGGUGUGAAGUACUUUCAGAUAUGUGUUUGGCCAGCUUUCUACUGUGACAUGUCCAUGGGAGGGGGCAUAGGACGUGUUCUCUUAUCUUCUCUGGUUCUUGAUCAUUCUUUGGAGAGGAAAAUAAUGGUAAAAAACAGAAAAGUUCA
This is a long non-coding RNA of Rhododendron vialii, 2137 nucleotides long. RefSeq lists it as uncharacterized. The record is from RefSeq and is a predicted model, not a curated record. Lineage: Eukaryota; Viridiplantae; Streptophyta; Magnoliopsida; Ericales; Ericaceae. The transcript is spliced from 2 exons.